RNAcentral lists this ribosomal RNA (386 nucleotides) under uncultured bacterium. Its description in RNAcentral is "bacterial SSU rRNA". It matches the Rfam family "Bacterial small subunit ribosomal RNA", at positions 30 to 418 of the family's 1533-position model. The record is from RNAcentral.
AUUGAACGCUGGCGGCAUGCCUUACACAUGCAAGUCGAACGGCAGCGGACCUUCGGGUGCCGGCGAGUGGNGAACGGGUGAGUAAUAUAUCGGAACGUACCUUUCAGUGGGGGAUAACGUAGCGAAAGUUACGCUAAUACCGCAUAUUCUGUGAGCAGGAAAGCAGGGGAUCGCAAGACCUUGCGCUGAUUGAGCGGCCGAUAUCAGAUUAGCUAGUUGGUGAGGUAAAGGCUCACCAAGGCGACGAUCUGUAGCGGGUCUGAGAGGAUGAUCCGCCACACUGGAACUGAGACACGGUCCAGACUCCUACGGGAGGCAGCAGUGGGGAAUUUUGGACAAUGGGCGCAAGCCUGAUCCAGCCAUGCCGCGUGAGUGAAGAAGGCCUC